RNAcentral lists this transfer RNA (84 nucleotides) under Salmo salar (Atlantic salmon). It matches the Rfam family "tRNA". From Rfam's summary of the family: Transfer RNA (tRNA) molecules are approximately 80 nucleotides in length. Their secondary structure includes four short double-helical elements and three loops (D, anti-codon, and T loops). Lineage: Eukaryota; Metazoa; Chordata; Actinopteri; Salmoniformes; Salmonidae. The record is from Rfam by way of RNAcentral.
CUCCCUGUGGCUCAGUUGGUAGAGCAUGGUGUUUGCAAUGGUGUUUGCAACACCAGAGUUGUGGGUUUGAUUCCCACGGGGGGC